RNAcentral lists this long non-coding RNA (487 nucleotides) under Citrus maxima (pomelo). RNAcentral describes it as "long non-coding RNA (CMAX_LNC001710)". Lineage: Eukaryota; Viridiplantae; Streptophyta; Magnoliopsida; Sapindales; Rutaceae. The record is from RNAcentral.
AAAAAAUCACCCUAACUUCACUCAAAUCCCUAAUUUUUUUGAGUUGUCCCUCUAUCUCCCUCUCUCCCUCUCGUCUUUACUCUUCUCAAAAUUUCUCACUAAAAUACCACCCUUUUGCAACUGUCCCCAAAUAAACAACCCUAAUUUCAUCUCUUCUACAGUUACUAUUUUAAAUUUGCAGCUGCCGCUCUUGACGAGUGAAGAAACGCAAAGUGGGAUUGAAGACAGAGAAAAUAGUUAAGUAAAUCCCAGUUCAAACCACGAAGAACAACUGAAAAAUUGAAGAUUUGAAAGUUUGGGUUCACGUCUUCCAGAAACAUAAUAAAGCAUUUGACACUUUUGAUUUUGAAAGGCUUGGAUUCUUAAAGUGAGGUUUUUUUUUUUAUUUCUUUAAUUUGUUUAAUUCGUUGAAAAUAAUGAUGGUUCAUUUAUUUCGGGAUAGUUUAAGUGAAUGGGAUCUUUUUUUUUCAAUUUCUUUUCAUGAUUC